UGGGGUGGAUUAAAGUGAAAUGACACUAAAUAAUCGGUGGCUAAAAACAUAUACUGGCAAGGUUUAUUUUAACAAUUCUGUAUCAACAGGCAUGCUAGCAGUUUGGGAGUUGGGCUAGCAGUUGGGA
This is a long non-coding RNA of Lepidothrix coronata (blue-crowned manakin), 127 nucleotides long. RefSeq lists it as uncharacterized. The record is from RefSeq and is a predicted model, not a curated record. Lineage: Eukaryota; Metazoa; Chordata; Aves; Passeriformes; Pipridae. The transcript has 4 exons.